Molecule: ribosomal RNA, 590 nt
Filed under: Halicephalobus sp. NKTW3
Lineage: Eukaryota; Metazoa; Nematoda; Chromadorea; Rhabditida; Panagrolaimidae
Description: SSU rRNA
Rfam family: Eukaryotic small subunit ribosomal RNA
Source: RNAcentral
CUGACCGUAAACUAUGCCAUCUAACGAGUCGGUAUUGGUUAUUAAUUGCCAUUUUGACGAGUUACCCGGAAACGAAAGUCUUUCGGUUCCGGGGGGAGUAUGGUUGCAAAACUGAAACUUAAAGGGAUUGACGGAAAGUCACCACCAGAAAUGGAGCCUGCGGCUUAAUUUGACUCAACACGGGAAAACUCACCCGGUCUAGACACUAAAAUGAAUGACAGACUGAUAUAUCUCUCAAGAUAUAGUGCAAAGUGGUGCAUGGCCGUUCUUAGUUCGUGGAGUAAUCUGUCUGGUUAAUUUCGAUAACGAACGAGACUAGAACAUAGUUAAUUGUGUGUGAUAUUAUUAUUUUAUUACACGGUGAUAAAUGGAUAUGCAAAUAAAAUUGCCUGAAAACUGGCAAUAACAGGUCUGUUAUGCCCUUAGUUGUCCGGGGCCGCACGCGCGCUACAAUGGAAAUUGCAGUGCGUAUAUACUAUAUCGAAAGAUAUGGUUAAACGUGUCAAAUUAUUCCGCAUUCGGGAUCGGAGACUGUAAUUGUUUUCGUGAACGAGGAACUUCAAGUAAGUGUGUGUCAUUAGCGCACGCUG